Long non-coding RNA from Tigriopus californicus, 543 nucleotides. RefSeq lists it as uncharacterized. The record is from RefSeq and is a predicted model, not a curated record. The transcript is spliced from 4 exons. NCBI's taxonomy places the organism in Eukaryota, Metazoa, Arthropoda, Copepoda, Harpacticoida, Harpacticidae.
AUGAAGGUCUUUGGAUUAUUUUUCGUCUUGCUCUUCGAUUUUGACACCCAAAGCUGUCAACGCCGAUUGCUCGGAUUGUUUGAAACUCGAGACAUUUUGGAAUAUAUAUGGCUCCAGGAUCAACGAUGGGCCCUGCUUUAUUAACGGAAACAACAAGGUAUGUUACAAAAAAGGUGGCGGAAAUAUGUAUUGCAAUGAAAAAGAUCCAAAGUGCAAUAUAUCUGAUGAUGGAAAGCCGCAAUACCCUCCCAAUAGCGGAACCCCUGAACAAUGUGAUUCAGUCCCAACAGUUGAUACUGAUACUUGCUCAUCCGAUACUGAAUUCUACAGCAAACGUACCCAUCUACUACUAACCACACUAUGGUCAAGUACGGUGUGAAGCGGGAGGAAAAUGUCAAGACGCCUGCAGCUAUGGAUUUUCCUCACAGGCCGAAAUUGAUUUCAUCGUGGACAAGCACAACGAGUUACGAGCCAAAGUAGCCAAUUGUGAAGAGGAUCAAGCUUUUAAUAGCACCAAAGGGCAACCCUGCGCCAAGAACAUGA